CAGGCCUAACACAUGCAAGUCGAACGGUAACAGAGAGUAGCUUGCUACUUUGCUGACGAGUGGCGGACGGGUGAGUAAUGUCUGGGGAUCUGCCUAAUGGAGGGGGAUAACUACUGGAAACGGUAGCUAAUACCGCAUAAUGUCGCAAGACCAAAGCGGGGGACUUUCGGGCCUCGCACCAUCAGAUGAACCCAGAUGGGAUUAGCUAGUAGGUAGGGUAAUGGCUUACCUAGGCGACGAUUCCUAGCUGGUCUGAGAGGAUGACCAGCCACACUGGAACUGAGACACGGUCCAGACUCCUACGGGAGGCAGCAGUGGGGAAUAUUGCACAAUGGGCGCAAGCCUGAUGCAGCCAUGCCGCGUGUAUGAAGAAGGCCUUCGGGUUGUAAAGUACUUUCAGUCAGGAGGAAGGGUGUGAAAUUAAUACUUUCAUGCAUUGACGUUACUGACAGAAGAAGCACCGGCUAACUCCGUGCCAGCAGCCGCGGUAAU
This 492-nucleotide ribosomal RNA is filed under the name uncultured bacterium. Its description in RNAcentral is "bacterial SSU rRNA". It matches the Rfam family "Bacterial small subunit ribosomal RNA", at positions 43 to 524 of the family's 1533-position model. The record is from RNAcentral.